GAAGCAUUAAAUGGCUGCAGGGCUGCUGUGAUCAGAGGGGAUGCGUUCGCCGCCAACUCUCCAGGUUGCAAGAUACCCCAGUGAUGCAACCUGCUCAGGCUGUGGAGGAACUCCAAAAAGAGAUUGAUGAUGGAAGCAUAGCGCCAUCACUUGAUUUCACAUCAGCAUCCGUCAGCUCCAAAAGUGACACUGCUGGUAUCUUAGAGGACAGAGUUUGCAUGUGAUGAGAUGCUGAGCAUGAGUGGGCUGCAUCUCGGGAAAGAUACAAGGAUGGAGCAAAUGCCAGUUUGUUGGAGGAUAAGCUUUCACUGCAGGGAGCUCAGGCUCUGGGAAAUCUACAAUCGCCUUGACUUUUGGACCCCUUGGAGCCAUCUCACCAUGUCCAAUGGUAUGGCCUAGAUACAUACCUUGUGCUUUUGAAAAUUCAUUUUAGACAAGUUUAGCUUCUUGUAAUUGAAAAAAUAAUUCUUCCGGAUGCUGUAAAUACUCCUUCCAUGACUGACUGAAAACUAUCAGAUCAUCAGUAUAAACAGCACAAUUGUUUAGACCUGCAA
Molecule: long non-coding RNA, 554 nt
Organism: Carcharodon carcharias (great white shark)
Lineage: Eukaryota; Metazoa; Chordata; Chondrichthyes; Lamniformes; Lamnidae
Exons: 3
Source: RefSeq, a predicted model, not a curated record